CCUACGGGCGGCAGCAGUGAGGAAUAUUGGUCAAUGGCCGAGAGGCUGAACCAGCCAAGUCGCGUGAGGGAAGAAUGUCCUAUGGAUUGUAAACCUCUUUUGUCAGGGAGCAAAGUCACCCACGUGUGGGUGUUGGAGAGUACCUGAAGAAAAAGCAUCGGCUAACUCCGUGCCAGCAGCCGCGGUAAUACGGAGGAUGCGAGCGUUAUCCGGAUUUAUUGGGUUUAAAGGGUGCGUAGGCGGGUUAUCAAGUCAGCGGUAAAAUCGUGGAGCUCAACUCCAUCCAGCCGUUGAAACUGAUGAUCUUGAGUGGGCGAGAAGUAUGCGGAAUGCGCGGUGUAGCGGUGAAAUGCAUAGAUAUCGCGCAGAACCCCGAUUGCGAAGGCAGCGUGCCGUGCCGCCACUGACGCUGAGGCACGAAAGCGCGGGGAUCGAACAGGAUUAGAUACCCCUGUAGUC
RNAcentral lists this ribosomal RNA (459 nucleotides) under uncultured bacterium. Its description in RNAcentral is "partial 16S ribosomal RNA". It matches the Rfam family "Bacterial small subunit ribosomal RNA", at positions 338 to 795 of the family's 1533-position model. The record is from RNAcentral.